AUGCGCGACGAGAUGCGCCUUUCAUACAUUCCGGCCAUGCUGAUGGCCACCAGCUUGCUACUCAUGGCUGCUUCAUCUCCUGCUCCGAGCAACAGCACCGACCUUGCGCCGCUGCUGGCUUUCAAAUCCCAGCUCUCCGACCCUUCGGCUACCAUUGCCAAUAACUGGACAACUUAUGCGUCCUUCUGCAGCUGGACCGGUGUGUCGUGCAGCCGCCGUCACCACCAGCGUGUCACUGCUUUGGAGCUGCCGGACAUUCCGCUUCAUGGAGAGCUCAGCCCUCACCUCGGUUUGCUGAAGGAAGAGGACAGGGUGAAGCUCCAGGCAGGUGUGAAGAGAUUGGCACAUGCUGCUGCGGCGCUGACGGACAGAUCCUUCCCUCGAGACAGGCUGCUCUUGAGAGACAGAGAUGGUUUGCAGAUUGGCUAG
RNAcentral lists this ribosomal RNA (429 nucleotides) under Triticum aestivum (bread wheat). RNAcentral describes it as "partial small subunit ribosomal RNA". The record is from RNAcentral. Lineage: Eukaryota; Viridiplantae; Streptophyta; Magnoliopsida; Poales; Poaceae.